GAAAGGAUGCCGGCUCUUAUGAAUGAGAGGCCGUGAGGACAGAUGCCAGGCAGAGCCGGAGUCAAAAAGGCUCCCAAAGGUUCCAAUCCCAGCUUCCCCCAUGACUAGCUUCAAGACUCAGGACUAGAUCCUCGUUUGCUCUGAGCCUCGGGCUACUCACUAAGACUUACAGACUCUGCUAAUGGGGCUCUGAUUUGUCGUGUAAGUGCUGGGUGUCUGGGAUUCACAGCCAGGGAAAUGACAGCGCCCUGAUGUGUUGACACGUCAAUCAACAGGUAGACAAUUAAGAUCUAAUAAGCCCACUAUUAAGUGCCAGACUCUGGGCUAAGCCCUGUUACAGAAACAUGAAAGUCAGCCUGGCUUCAUGUCAAGUGUGCUGAGCGAGGACUGGCUUGUUUUGAUCUCUCUGCUGUUUCCAGUGCUUAGUCCAUUACUGAGGUCAGCGAGGUACUAGAGAUGAUUUCCUGGCAAACUUCUACAACAAAUCCUUUGUGGCAUCAGCUGAGUGGUUCAGUGGAUGGAGAGCCAAGCCUGAAGAUAGGAGGUCCUGGGUUCAAAUCUGACCUCAGAUACUUCUGAGCUGUGUGACCCUGGGCAAGUCACUUCACCCCAUUUGCCUAACCCUUAUUGCUCUUUUCCCUUGGAACCAAUACACAGUACUGAUUCUAAGGCAGAAGAGCUGGUUGCAUGCUGCCUUUCCAUUGGACGGUGCCCUCCUCUGGAACAGAGACUGUCUUUGGCUUUCCUUUGUACCCCCAGUCUUUAGCUUGGUGCCAUCUAGUAGGUGCUUAUUGACACACUCGCUGACUGCUUAAGAAGUGUCGCUGUGGCCUGAAUUGAAUGGAUGUUGGACUUGGAAGUUUGGGUGAUUCUUUCUUUUAAGACCCCCUGCAAGAUUUUGUAAUUGAAAAAUCCAGUCAGCUCUGCUCCUCCCUCUGGCCUUGGUGGCAGCCAUCCUGUUUCUCUCUAGUUUUCCUUCUCCCAGUUGCAAGUGGGGGAGAAUUGUUGUGAGCAAAGCAAAGACCCAAGACAACUCCAAGGGCCGUGUGAUGAGGAAGGCUGCCCACUGCCCUGGGAGGAACGGAGGGAGUCCCAAGGCAAAAGGAAACAGACCAUCCUUUGCUUCAUUGCUUCCCUGAGGUUUUUUCUAAAACAAGUGCAAUUUGUCUUCUGCCAUAUAAUAAACAUGGGAAGAAUGUAUCUUAU
This 1206-nucleotide long non-coding RNA is filed under the name Monodelphis domestica (gray short-tailed opossum). RNAcentral describes it as "lncRNA (ENSMODG00000047639.1)". The record is from RNAcentral. Lineage: Eukaryota; Metazoa; Chordata; Mammalia; Didelphimorphia; Didelphidae.